GCCGAAGUGAUGGAAUGGUAGACAUGAGGGAUUCAAAAUCCCUUGCCGCGAGGCGUGAGAGUUCGAGUCUCUCCUUCGGUACCA
This 84-nucleotide transfer RNA is filed under the name Ignatzschineria cameli. Its description in RNAcentral is "tRNA-Leu". It matches the Rfam family "tRNA". Rfam says of the family: Transfer RNA (tRNA) molecules are approximately 80 nucleotides in length. Lineage: Bacteria; Pseudomonadati; Pseudomonadota; Gammaproteobacteria; Cardiobacteriales; Ignatzschineriaceae. The record is from RNAcentral.